This 422-nucleotide ribosomal RNA is filed under the name uncultured archaeon. RNAcentral describes it as "partial 16S ribosomal RNA". It matches the Rfam family "Archaeal small subunit ribosomal RNA", at positions 323 to 746 of the family's 1478-position model. The record is from RNAcentral.
CUACGGGAGGCACCAGGCGCGAAACCUUUACAAUGCACGAAAGUGUGAUAAGGGAAUCCCGAGUGCCAAUGUCUAACAUUGGCUUUUGCCAAGGGCAGAUACCUUGGCGAAUAAGUGGUGGGCAAUGCCGGUGCCAGCAGCCGCGGUAACACCGGAGCCACAAGUGGGGGUCACUUUUAUUGGGCCUAAAGCGUCCGUAGCCGGUCCAUUAAGUCUUUUGUGAAAUCGUUGGGCUCAACUCAACGGCGUGCAGGAGAAACUGAUGGACUUGGGACUGGGAGGAGUCAGAGGUAUGCUUGGGGGAGCGGUAAAAUGCUAUAAUCCCUUGUAGACCACCUGUGGCGAAGGCGUCUGACUAGAACAGAUCCGACGGUGAGGGACGAAAGCCAGGGGAGCGAUCCGGAUUAGAUACCCCAGUAGUC